RNAcentral lists this non-coding RNA (27 nucleotides) under Rattus norvegicus (Norway rat). Lineage: Eukaryota; Metazoa; Chordata; Mammalia; Rodentia; Muridae. The record is from RNAcentral.
UGCACCCAUCUGCAGGUCAUAUCUCAG